GCUCCAUGCCCCCCCACUCCACCGUGCUGCAACAGGAGGGUGCCGUCUUUCUGUCCUUCAAACUCGUCCGGGGUGGCGUCUUCCAGGAGGAGGCGGUGACGGAGGCCCUGCGGGCGCCAGGCAAGUUCCCCAACUGCAGCGGAACCAGAAACCUGCAUGACAACCUGUCGGACCUCCGUGCCCAGGUGGCAGCCAACCAGAAGGGCAUCCAGCUGGUGGGGGAGCUCAUUGGGCAGUACGGCCUGGACGUGGUGCAGGCCUACAUGGGCCAUAUUCAGGUGGGCCUGGGCACAGGAGUGUGGGCGGCAGGGCCAUCCUGCAGGUGACCUGGCCGCCACUGAUCCUGCUCCCUGCCAGGCAAACGCUGAGCUGGCCGUGCGAGACAUGUUGCGUGCCUUUGGAACCUCCCGGCAGGCCCGGGGCCUGCCCCUGGAGGUGUCCUCGGAAGACCACAUGGACGACGGUUCCCCCAUCCGCCUCCGUGUGCAGAUCAGCCUGAGUCAGGGCAGCGCUGUGUUUGACUUCAGCGGCACUGGGCCGGAGGUGUUUGGUAAUCUCAACGCACCGCGGGCCAUAACCCUGUCCGCCCUCAUCUACUGCCUGCGCUGUCUGGUGGGCCGCGACAUCCCACUCAA
Molecule: small RNA, 635 nt
Filed under: Pan troglodytes (chimpanzee)
Lineage: Eukaryota; Metazoa; Chordata; Mammalia; Primates; Hominidae
Description: retained intron
Source: RNAcentral